GACGAACGCUGGCGGCGUGCUUAACACAUGCAAGUCGAACGGGAACCUUUAUUUCGGUAAAGGUGAGAGUGGCAAACGGGUGAGUAACACGUAGGCAACCUGCCGACAGGAUGGGGACAACAUUCCGAAAGGAAUGCUAAUACCGAAUGGAGUCCGGGGAUGGCAUCAUCCUCGGAUCAAAGAUGGCCUCUGAAUAUGCUAUCGCCUGUCGAUGGGCCUGCGUCUGAUUAGCCAGUUGGCGGGGUAACGGCCCACCAAAGCGACGAUCAGUAGCCGGUCUGAGAGGAUGAACGGCCACAUUGGGACUGAGACACGGCCCAGACUCCUACGGGAGGCAGCAGUGGGGAAUCUUCCACAAUGGGCGAAAGCCUGAUGGAGCAACGCCGCGUGAGUGAAGAAGGUCUUCGGAUCGUAAAGCUCUGUUGCACGGGACGAAAACCGGGUUUGAGAAUAUUGAGUUUGGGUGACGGUACCGAGCGAGGAAGCCACGGCUAACUACGUGCCAGCAGCCGCGGUAAUACGUAGGUGGCGAGCGUUGUCCGGAAUUAUUGGGCGUAAAGGGAGCGCAGGCGGACAUAUAAGUCCAUCUUAAAAGUGCGGGGCUCAACCCCGUGAGGGGAUGGAAACUGUAUGCCUUGAGUGCAGGAGAGGAAAGCGGAAUUCCCAGUGUAGCGGUGAAAUGCGUAGAUAUUGGGAGGAACACCAGUGGCGAAGGCGGCUUUCUGGACUGCAACUGACGCUGAGGCUCGAAAGCCAGGGGAGCGAACGGG
Molecule: ribosomal RNA, 770 nt
Filed under: uncultured Selenomonas sp.
Lineage: Bacteria; Bacillati; Bacillota; Negativicutes; Selenomonadales; Selenomonadaceae
Description: bacterial SSU rRNA
Rfam family: Bacterial small subunit ribosomal RNA
Source: RNAcentral